GUUGAGGUAAACUAAAAAGGUUACUAGGCUCAUAAUCUAGGUGUGGGUUUUACUCCUCUCAGCA
Molecule: transfer RNA, 64 nt
Filed under: Macoma balthica
Lineage: Eukaryota; Metazoa; Mollusca; Bivalvia; Cardiida; Tellinidae
Description: Limecola balthica tRNA-Met
Source: RNAcentral